UACGUAGGGUGCAAGCGUUGUCCGGAAUUAUUGGGCGUAAAGAGCUCGUAGGCGGUCUGUCGCGUCGGCUGUGAAAUCCCGAGGCUCAACCUCGGGUCUGCAGUCGAUACGGGCAGACUAGAGUUCGGUAGGGGAGUCUGGAAUUCCUGGUGUAGCGGUGAAAUGCGCAGAUAUCAGGAGGAACACCGGUGGCGAAGGCGGGACUCUGGGCCGAUACUGACGCUGAGGAGCGAAAGCGUGGGGAGCAAACAGG
RNAcentral lists this ribosomal RNA (253 nucleotides) under uncultured bacterium. RNAcentral describes it as "partial 16S ribosomal RNA". It matches the Rfam family "Bacterial small subunit ribosomal RNA", at positions 524 to 776 of the family's 1533-position model. The record is from RNAcentral.